CUCCCUUAGCCAAAAUUUUAGGUUACUCUCCCUCCCAAAUUGCUCUCGGCCUCCCUCUGACUCAAUAAAAUUUUAGGUCACUCUUCCUGCUCCCAAAUUUCUCUCGGCCUCCCUCAAUCGCGCUCACCCUCGCCAUCGCUCUCAACCUCGCUGACUCAGUAUCGCGCUCCCCCUCACCAUCGCUCUCACCCUUUAUCGCCCUCACCCUCUCAACCUCAUCGACCCUCACUCUCACUCUCAGCGGCUCUCCCGAUCUUAAUCUUUGAGGUUUCCGCCACCGUUAGAUCCACCGCCCCCUCCCUCAGAUCUCCUUUGAUCUACUUCAACCAUGGAGGCGAUUGAAGAGUUGUUGCAACUGUCAGACUCGAUGCGCUAAGGCCAGGCCAUCCUCGCUGACGAAGACGUUGACGAAAACUCUACUGCCUCCUCUCACCGCUCCUCAACGUCGUCGGUCUCGGCCAGGGGCGGAUCCAGCCACGGGCUUGGUAGGGCUCAAGCACCACCGGGCUUUUCGGGCAAAAAAAAAAAAUUAGGUAUAUAGAUUUUUUUUUUUGGACCAGUCAUCUCGUAUUCUCGUUUCAAGCCCCACCGCUGCGACUUGGAGACUUGGAGACUUGGAGCACAAAGCACACCCGGCUGGACGAUCUGCAAGAGUGCAAGGCUGGAAGCCUUAUAACCAGCAAUCCGUCUUCAGUUGUCCGGUCUCCGAGCUCCGCGCAGCCUCCAGCAGUCCAGGCUUCCAAGCCGCACCUGCCACCGCCUCCAGCCUUUCGAUCCCCACCAGCAACCCGUCUCCGCGUUGUCUUCCAUUUAAUCUGUUUCAGUUCUGAGUUCUUGUUGGUUUUCAACUAAGGUAAAUAGAUUUGCAGACAGUCAAAGACUCUAAAUGAUAUAAUUGCUUGGCCUAUGGAUACUGAUUAACUGAUGGUAUAUUGAUCUUGAUGAAUUGAUGUUUGAUUACUUGAUUUUAAUAAAGUCUGUAACUUUGUAUGAUUCAUGAUUCAUGAGGAGAAAGCCUCAGACCUCAGAAGCAGAGGGCCACAGUUCCUUUGAGAAACUUGAAAAAAAAUAAAGAGACCUCAGCUUUAACAAGCUAACUGGAGAAAUUCCAAGCAGCUUUUCUGGACUAGCAAAUGUGGAUUACAUGUAAGCAAUGAAUAACAGAUCUUGAUUCUUUUACUGAUUACUAGGGGAUUUACAAUAAAGGAGCAGAAUGAGGCCUCGUGUAUAAUUAUUGACUGGAAAUAUGCUCACUGGAUCUGUGCCAGAUUGGCUGAAAGGAGACAACAUUGAUCUUUCAUACAACGAUUUCACCACUAAGUCAGCAGCUGUUAGUUGUGAACCACAAGGCGGCUUGAACUUGCACUGCAGUUGGUUUAUCAUGUUUUCUUGCUGAUCUUUUUGGACCCUCUAUUGUUCUGUUUGCAGAUCUGUUUCAUGUUUGAAAAUUGCAAAAUGUCCAAAAAGUAAGUUGGGUUGCACAUAUGUCCUUUAUAAAUGUCUAUGGCCUUUUCUUUGUUUUCCACUUCCUUCCUUCCUUUUUUCUUUUAUAUUUUUAUUAUAUUUUAUAUUUUUUAAGGCUGAAAGCUUAACAGCUAUAAAAGAUAUCAGAAUUUCUAAGGAACAAAAGACUAGAAAGUAAAAUUAUCAAUUAUCUACCACUGCUCUGAACAAUGGUGAAUAAAGAACUUGGUCUCUUUACACUUCAUAUUUAAGUAUAGAACUACAAUAUGCAAUGCAAAAAAGUUAGUGUUAAAGUUGCAAAUCUGUACGAGCA
Molecule: long non-coding RNA, 1777 nt
Organism: Rosa rugosa (rugosa rose)
Lineage: Eukaryota; Viridiplantae; Streptophyta; Magnoliopsida; Rosales; Rosaceae
Exons: 7
Source: RefSeq, a predicted model, not a curated record